Molecule: ribosomal RNA, 693 nt
Filed under: uncultured bacterium
Lineage: Bacteria
Description: bacterial SSU rRNA
Rfam family: Bacterial small subunit ribosomal RNA
Source: RNAcentral
AACGCUAGCUACAGGCUUAACACAUGCAAGUCGAGGGGCAGCAUGGUCUUAGCUUGCUAAGGCCGAUGGCGACCGGCGCACGGGUGAGUAACACGUAUCCAACCUGGCCUGACUCGGGGAUAGCCUUUCGAAAGAAAGAUUAAUACCCGAUGGCAUGGUUUCCCCGCAUGGGGAAUCCAUUAAAGAUUUAUCGGUGAAGGAUGGGGAUGCGUUCCAUUAGCUUGUUGGCGGGGUAACGGCCCACCAAGGCUACGAUGGAUAGGGGUUCUGAGAGGAAGGUCCCCCACAUUGGAACUGAGACACGGUCCAAACUCCUACGGGAGGCAGCAGUGAGGAAUAUUGGUCAAUGGCCGAGAGGCUGAACCAGCCAAGUAGCGUGAAGGAUGACGGCCCUACGGGUUGUAAACUUCUUUUAUAAGGGAAUAAAGGGCGCCACGCGUGGUGUUUUGCAUGUACCUUAUGAAUAAGCAUCGGCUAACUCCGUGCCAGCAGCCGCGGUAAUACGGAGGAUGCGAGCGUUAUCCGGAUUUAUUGGGUUUAAAGGGUGCGUAGGCCGGCUGGUAAGUCAGCGGUGAAACGUCGUUGCUCAACAAUGACCGUGCCGUUGAAACUGUCAGUCUUGAGUGCAUCCAGUGCAUGCGGAAUUCGUGGUGUAGCGGUGAAAUGCUUAGAUAUCACGAAGAACUCCGAUUG